This 253-nucleotide ribosomal RNA is filed under the name uncultured bacterium. RNAcentral describes it as "partial 16S ribosomal RNA". It matches the Rfam family "Bacterial small subunit ribosomal RNA", at positions 524 to 776 of the family's 1533-position model. The record is from RNAcentral.
GACGAACCGGCCAAACGUUAUUCGGAAUCACUGGGCUUAAAGGGUGCGUAGGCGGCCCGGCAAGUUGGGUGUGAAAGCCCUCGGCUCAACCGAGGAAUUGCGCCCAAAACUGCCGGGCUAGAGGGCGACAGAGGUGAGCUGAACUUAGGGUGGAGCGGUGAAAUGCUUUGAUAUCCUAAGGAACACCGGUAGCGAAAGCGGCUCGCUGGGUCUUUGCUGACGCUGAGGCACGAAAGCUAGGGUCGCUAACGGG